AAUGUACUUAACGUGUUAUACAAUUUAUAUGCAAUUUGUUUCAGCCUACUGCCUCCUAACUGGAAUCGGGACGUGAUAUAUAUUCUUUGGGAUAUGGCCUAGAAUUUCUGACUUGUGAUUAAACAGCACUUCUCUACGGAAAUUGGAUUUUUUUGGCAGAGAAUAACUGGAUUCAAGAAAGCAGCUUGAUCGUGAAAGUUCUGGGCAGUUCAGAUCAUCUUUAUCAGGAGAUGGGGAUGUUGACAGCACAAGACAUUUAAGCGUCAGAUGACAGUUUCUUGAUCCUGAACCCAGGAUGCAUCUACAGCUCUCUCAUGGCUUCUGCAUCACUGUUGAAGCAGAAAAGAUGCAAAAAGGGCUGGACUAGUGAAAUCUUAAUUACCUUGUAUGGUAAGAAAAGAACAGUGCAGGUGUGGAAUGGACAGAUGAUUUGGUCCCCAGAGUGCCUUUCUCCCUCAGGAACCAACAGACCGGAUGAUCUGCGCUGCUAUACUGACCUAUCUCCAACCUCAGUUGACUUUCUAUUGGCCUGGAGGAAACUUGGCUUGCUCUCCUCUCUCUCGUCCUUGCUUGCCCUCAUACAGCUAGAUAGCUGUGGUGGGACUUAA
This 608-nucleotide long non-coding RNA is filed under the name Struthio camelus australis. RNAcentral describes it as "lncRNA (ENSSCUG00000018268.1)". Lineage: Eukaryota; Metazoa; Chordata; Aves; Struthioniformes; Struthionidae. The record is from RNAcentral.